CUACCAUACAACUAUUAGGUCAUCCCAUAAGUUCGUGCCGACUUUUGUGUAUACAUGUGUCGAUUUAUAAACAUACGGCGAAAAGGGACCAAUGCACUUAAAAAAUGGGAAGAAGUUGUACAACGAGAGGGGGAUUACAUUUUUUCAUGAAACUGAAAGCAGGACAUCUUCUGUUGAUUUUAUUGGCAUAUUGGAUUAAUCACACAAACAACAUCAAAACGUUUCACGCAAUAUAUUUCAAACAUCCAAACGACCACGAUUACAAGA
Molecule: unclassified non-coding RNA, 267 nt
Filed under: Bombus terrestris (buff-tailed bumblebee)
Lineage: Eukaryota; Metazoa; Arthropoda; Insecta; Hymenoptera; Apidae
Description: misc RNA ENSBTSG00005034115.1
Source: RNAcentral